CAAUGGGCGAAGCCUGAUGCAGCGACGCCGCGUGAGCGAAGAAGUAUUUCGUUCANNNAAAGCUCUANNANCAGGGAAGAUAAUGACGGUACCUGACUUCCAAGCACCGGCUAAAUACGUGCCAGCAGCCGCGGUAAUACGUAUGGUGCAAGCGUUAUCCGGAUUUACUGGGUGUAAAGGGAGCGCAGGCGGUGCGGCAAGUCUGAUGUGAAAGCCCGGGGCUCAACCCCGGUACUGCAUUGGAAACUGUCGUACUAGAGUGUCGGAGGGGUAAGCGGAAUUCCUAGUGUAGCGGUGAAAUGCGUAGAUAUUAGGAGGAACACCAGUGGCGAAGGCGGCUUGCUGGACUGUAACUGACACUGAGGCUCGAAAGCGUGGGGAGCAAACAGGAUUAGAUACCCUGGUAGUCCAAGGGCGAAUUC
This 422-nucleotide ribosomal RNA is filed under the name uncultured bacterium. RNAcentral's name for it is "SSU rRNA". It matches the Rfam family "Bacterial small subunit ribosomal RNA", at positions 369 to 808 of the family's 1533-position model. The record is from RNAcentral.